RNAcentral lists this ribosomal RNA (260 nucleotides) under uncultured bacterium. RNAcentral's name for it is "partial 16S ribosomal RNA". It matches the Rfam family "Bacterial small subunit ribosomal RNA", at positions 793 to 1055 of the family's 1533-position model. The record is from RNAcentral.
GUCCACGCCGUAAACGAUGAAUACUAGGUGUCUGGUGUCAAAGCUAGGUGCCGCAGCUAACGCAUUAAGUAUUCCGCCUGGGGAGUACGCACGCAAGUGUGAAACUCAAAGGAAUUGACGGGGACCCGCACAAGCAGCGGAGCAUGUGGUUUAAUUCGAAGCAACGCGAAGAACCUUACCAGGUCUUGACAUCCUCUUGAUCGGUCCUUAGCCGGACCUUCUCUUCGGAGCAAGAGAGACAGGUGGUGCAUGGUUGUCGU